RNAcentral lists this ribosomal RNA (484 nucleotides) under uncultured bacterium. Its description in RNAcentral is "partial 16S ribosomal RNA". It matches the Rfam family "Bacterial small subunit ribosomal RNA", at positions 30 to 507 of the family's 1533-position model. The record is from RNAcentral.
AUUGAACGCUGGCGGCAGGCCUAACACAUGCAAGUCGAGCGGAUAAAGGGAGCUUGCUCCUGGAUUCAGCGGCGGACGGGUGAGUAAUGCCUAGGAAUCUGCCUGGUAGUGGGGGAUAACGUCCGGAAACGGGCGCUAAUACCGCAUACGUCCUGCGGGAGCAAGUGGGGGAUCUUCGGACCUCACGCUAUCAGAUGAGCCUAGGUCGGAUUAGCCAGUUGGUGGGGUAAAGGCCUACCAAGGCGACGAUCCGUAACUGGUCUGAGAGGAUGAUCAGUCACACUGGAACUGAGACACGGUCCAGACUCCUACGGGAGGCAGCAGUGGGGAAUAUUGGACAAUGGGCGAAAGCCUGAUCCAGCCAUGCCGCGUGUGUGAAGAAGGUCUUCGGAUUGUAAAGCACUUUAAGUUGGGAGGAAGGGCAGUAAGUUAAUACCUUGCUGUUUUGACGUUACCAACAGAAUAAGCACCGGCUAACUUCGUG